This 439-nucleotide ribosomal RNA is filed under the name uncultured bacterium. RNAcentral's name for it is "partial 16S ribosomal RNA". It matches the Rfam family "Bacterial small subunit ribosomal RNA", at positions 338 to 795 of the family's 1533-position model. The record is from RNAcentral.
CCUACGGGAGGCAGCAGUGGGGAAUAUUGCACAAUGGGGGAAACCCUGAUGCAGCAACGCCGCGUGAGUGAAGAAGUAUUUCGGUAUGUAAAGCUCUAUCAGCAGGGAAGAAGAUGACGGUACCUGAAUAAGAAGCCCCGGCUAAUUACGUGCCAGCAGCCGCUGUAAUACGUGGGGGGCAGCGUUAUUCGGGUUUACUGGGGGGAAAGGGGGCGUAGAAGGGAGUGCAAGUCAGGAGUGAAAGUCUGGGGCCCAAACCCGGAACUGCUCUGGAAACUGGGCGGCUUGAGUACAGGAGGGGCAGGCGGAAUUCCUAGUGUAGCGGUGAAAUGCGUAGAUAUUAGGAGGAACACCAGUGGCGAAGGCGGCCUGCUGGACAGUAACUGACGUUGAGGCUCGAAAGCGUGGGGAGCAAACAGGAUUAGAUACCCUGGUAGUC